UACAGAGGCCUCGAGCGUUAGGCGGAAUCACUGGGCUUAAAGCGUGUGUAGGUGGAUGCCUAAGUGCCUUGUGAAAUCCCAUGGCUUAACCAUGGAAUUGCUGGGCAUACUGGGCGUCUUGAGCCACUCAGGGGCUACCGGAACAAACGGUGGAGCGGUGAAAUGCGUAGAUAUCAUUUGGAACGCCAAUGGUGAAAACAGGUAGCUGGGGCUGUGCUGACACUGAGACACGAAAGCCAGGGGAGCAAACGGG
Molecule: ribosomal RNA, 253 nt
Filed under: uncultured bacterium
Lineage: Bacteria
Description: partial 16S ribosomal RNA
Rfam family: Bacterial small subunit ribosomal RNA
Source: RNAcentral